UGAUCCUUUCUGAAGUUUUGACUCAAUCUGGGUCUUACUUCCACUGCAAUGCAACAGGCAAGAGCCACAAGUUAUUGGUUUAAUUUUGUCUAAUUUUUACUGAGAUACGUGAGAAACAUUGUUUUGAAACAGGUGGUUCAAAAAGAAAAAGGAAGCAUAGAAUAUGGGGCAGUACAGCAGAGGGACAGGCCGUCCGACUCACAAUGUCUUGACUCUCUCAGUGGUACGUGCUUUAAUACAAUAGUAUCGGGACAUCCUUGACAAUAUUGGCUGCUUUGUGACAGUGUGUAGAUGGAAUCGAUGGAUGGCGAGGCUGGUUUGCGUAAUGGAUGAGGCUGCUUCCACAACGCUCCGCAAUUUCUUGCAAUAGUGGCCAGAGCAGUUGCCAUACUAAGUUGUGAUGCACGCCAAUAGGAUCUGUAGAAAUCGGUCAAUGAGCCAGUGACACAGUUGCAAGCAAGAUUUUCAAUCGAUGUAUACCUACCUCCCUCACCAUAUUUAUGCAUUUGACAAUAAACUUGUUUUUUGUA
This is a long non-coding RNA of Leucoraja erinaceus (little skate), 530 nucleotides long. RefSeq lists it as uncharacterized. The transcript has 2 exons. NCBI's taxonomy places the organism in Eukaryota, Metazoa, Chordata, Chondrichthyes, Rajiformes, Rajidae. The record is from RefSeq and is a predicted model, not a curated record.